CCUUCCUGGACUCCUCUGCCCUUCAGAACUGCCUUCCAAGGGACUCUGCCAACCAGUGUCCUGAGCAUCAUAAACUCUGCCCUCCAGAAGUCUAAGACAGCAGUUUUACUGGUCCCCCUCCUGACUUCGCCAAGAAUAUAGAACUCCACCAUUUCAUGGUCGCUCUGCCCAAGACAGAUCCCGACCACCACAUCUCCCACCACUCCUUCUCUGUUUGUGAACAGAAGGUCCAGCGGGGCACCUCCCCUGGCAGGCUCACUAACCAGCUGCGUCAGGAAGCUAGCUUCCACACUCUCCAGAAACCUUCCAGACUUAUGCACUGAAAUCCUACAGGUGUCCUAUAGGGAAGAAUUAAAUGAGCACCCUGGGCAAAGAACUUCGCCCUUUAUACACCAUGAACUGAAGUAGCAGUUACUAGAAACCACAAGUAGUUUUCAUUGCUUUAGGUGAAGCUUAAUGUGACCUGCAGGCAAGGCUAGAUGGGCUGUCAUCCCCCAGAACACACAAUUUCCUAUAAAGUGCCCCUGCAGAAUGAUACUUGGGUGAAGGAGCUUAUGUUCUGAGUUUAAAAACCUUUUAAAGUGAAUCCUUUUUAUGGAGCAGUGAUUUUCGUGGUUCAGUUUAUUCUGAACCGUCAUGUUACACAGGAUGACAGCAGAAGCUGUCCUUUCUGAAAGACUAAAUGGCUCGCAGCUGGCAUUCGGAUAUAAAGUGACUCAGAAAAUACUUUUUCUGAAUUAGUCUAAGAAAAACUCUCAUAUUUCGAACUUUAAAAGACAAAGGUACUCAAGGAAAAGGAAGCUUUUUCACUAUUUUUCACUAUUUGCUUAUUCACUGUAUUUGACUACUCAUAUCUCUGCAUCCAGUCACUGUGUAUCACACCCAACAGAACCUUAAGGUUUCUGCAAAGCCAUUCCUUAACUUUUUUUAUUCUUUAAGAGUUAUAUACUGAAUCACAAUAUGGAGGAAAAAAUGGGGAGAUGAUGAAAUGGAUGAGAAAAGUUUCAAUCGUGUGUUUUUGUAUUCAAAGUGAACGUUGAAAUGUAGAACAUCGAAAAUAAAUUCCUUAACUUUAGGUUUGAAUGAGGAGAGGCUUGUUGACAGGUCUAGUCAUGCCCAGAACGUGUCUAUUUUUGGAACAGCAGCGUACUGUACCUACGAGUAAGAGUAAUCAGACAGGUACUGUUUCUCUUUAAUUGAUGAAUUAUUAAUUGACAGGCUAAGCAAAUGUGCUUAACAUCAAUAAGACACUUAAUGGCCAUGGGUGUAUUGUCCUAAGCUUCACUUAAGGGUUUCAGUGACUUUUCCAUCUUAAUGGCAAAAAGGCAUGUGUUAAUAGACUUGGUAUUUGAAACUGCAAGGAGGAAGCUCUUUGAUUUUGUUCAGAAGUGUACCAGAGGCCACUUCUGAAGUUUUCAGGUGAAACGAACCAAAUACUGUGUUAUUGUCAGUUAAGAGGCUCAGAGGACAAGACCAACACAGAAGGUGGAGGCUUAAAGUACAAAGACUGAUUUCUGAAAGCUAAUCAUUAUAAACAGAUAAUGAAGUCUGGGGGGAAAAAUCUCCAGUCACAGCAUUUUGUUAUACUUGAGUCACAGCUACAGAACAGCAACGUGAACAUCACUUUUCAUUGAUCACCAAACACAAUGCAUAAGAAGCUGAAAUUACUUGUCUCAAAACAUGGUGGUGCUUCCUCCUGAGAAAACUCCCAUCCAGACCUGUAUGUGAAGUCAAAAGGCUGUCAUCGUUGGACAAACAUCUUCUCUAGCUUUUUGUCUCUCUUCAAAUGGAGCCUUUUGUUUUGUUUCAUACUGUGGUGACUGGUAGUGAUCGAAUGUCUGAGGUAGCUGAUGUAUGUGAAUGUGAGUUGCAGUUGUAGCUUUGGUAGCUUUUAGUCCCAAUUCUGUGCUUCACUUGGCUCUGCAGAGCUAGGGACCUCCACUACCUUUACUAUCUCUGGUCUUGACAGUAGAGUGUAAGCACACAAAAUGUUGUGGGAUUUAACUCUUGGAAUACUUUGAUGUAGAGAAGAAAAUAAAAUAAUAAAAAAAACUAAAAUGCCAAGCUUGUCAUUUAUUCUAGAAUAAAAGAAAAACUCAGACUGGAAGUAUAAUCCUGCUGCUCUGGAGGCUAGGAGAGAUGACGUCUUGCUCAAAGCAGGGGCUGUCUUUGAAGUUCUCCAUUUAUUCUUUUGUGGCUGCAAACUAAAAGAACACUGUAAAAGUAUCUUCCAAACCUUGCUUCCUGCAGGAAUACAGUUAAAACUUUCUGGAAACACUCAGUAGUGCUUGCAAUUAACCUACCAGUCACUGCAGGAUGCAGAACAUAGAUCACAAACUCACAGCAGGUUAUUUUCUUGGAGUACAUCCAGCUCCAAAUAGCACUUGUAGGAGUUGGUGCACUCCCUAAAACAGGGUGCCUCGGGGAACACUUUCCCUUCGAGAAAGUGACUGACUGGGUUGGAAUGUGUGCAGAUGCCAGGGGCGGCUGCUCGUUCCUCCCCAGAUUCAGGUCAAGCUGCAUCUUGAGUUUUAGUAAGGCUUGAGUUGAGGGCUACUUCUUAUGAAUGGACAUCCUCAGUUCAGUUACUGUAGGGAGAAUGUGGGUUCUCUCCUUGGCUACCCUCUCUUUGGUAAAACUGACAGUACUUUAAUGCAGCAUUGCACAGAAGAGAGCCUACUGACUUCCUCAGGCUGGGUCAGAGGAUCGUCUUAACCAGGUACUCUGAGCUGCGUGUUGUCAACCUGCCUCCCAGCAACCUCCAGAGCGACUGGGAACAAAACUGAUGAGAAAGCAAUAAUAAUGUAAUUGCCAAAGCAAGGAGGAGCUUAACUUUACUACUGAAGACUUCUUUUCCCCAGAUAAGUAGUGCUAAACUAUUUAUACAGCAUCCGCUGAAAGUAGCACUUUAUUCCUAAGUUUUUGUGGGUGGUAUCCCUCAAAGUGUUUCAAAAAAAGGAAUUUUUGAGUAAUACUUUUUAAUUUGUUUUUAUUAAAACUAGUUCAUUCGGUACACACUCAUCAUACUUCACUAAAAUCUUUUUGAUUGAAUCUCUUUGGAUGAAUAUAUCAUUGUUACAAAAUGAUCUUGUUCACUGUUGGCAGUGGGAGGUAGGGGAAGAGUAGAGCCAAAAUACAGCAGAAAUUAUUAUGAAGGCUUAAACAUCAGCAGCUGUUUGAAAUAAAAAUCUAAGGUGCAUUUCCCUCCUUCUGCCUUCCCUCCCACCCCCUUCCAGCACUGAUCAGAUUUAUUUUGCCUUUUUUACUACAGAUACCAUGUUAAUACUUCGAAAAACUUGUUGAUUUUCAAGGCCUUUUGUAAAGAUCUUAUCUGUGGUCCUUUUAGCUCAUUUUUUGGCAUGGGUUCAAUUUUUUGAAAGUAGCAAGCCUUUGACAAGUGCAAUUGAAUUCCUAGGGCAUGCUUGCUGUUCAGGGAUGAUCAGCGCAAACCAAAGGUAGCGAUUCCCGUGAUAAUGUAACGUGCAGCCUCUAGAUGUAAAUUCCCACGUGUAAGGGAAUGAAAUCCACUGCUAAUCAAGUCUGAGUAUCUAAUUCCAAGAUGGUGUGUCCUAGGUAGACUGGCUAUUAGCACUAGCCUGCAGCUGUCUCUUCUAGCACUUUAAAGGCAAUAAAAUACAGUCAGCCCCACUUUUCCUUUGUCCCUGCUAAAUGCUCUGGGAGAAUACUGCCAUUGUGAUCUCUGUAUCACUGUAAGCUUGCUCUUUCACAGCAGGGUACAGUUUGAUCGUCUUCUCUGGGAAGUGAUCAAUUGACAGCUGCUCUAAGGAGACCCCAAGCUCUCAUUAGCAGGUAGCCAAACACUGGGCCUAGAGUAUCCUACUGCUCAUCUGCUGAAGGUACACAAGCAAGUUCCUGAACAGGCAUCUUGGUCUCCAAUUGUUAGCAGCUUUAGGGAUGUCUGAAGCCAUAUGGAUAGAAGAAAGGGGUCUCCCAGCUCACCAGCUCCUGAUGCUCUUUUCUUUUGGGGAGUGACUUGGAGAUGGUUAGGACAAUUGCUUUGUAUUCAUUGCUUCCUUGUCUAAAUUGGCCUUCUCCAGAGUCACAUACAUUUUCCAACUUCGAUUACUUGAGGCUGGAGGAUAGUUUCUAUCUGUAUUUAGCAAUACAAAGAAAGCACUGACCACACUUAGCUUUAGGUAUUAAAAUGCAUACAUGGGGUAUGCUGAUGCUACAGGCAUAAACAAAUGAUGAAACAGCUCUAACUAGAAGAACCUUGGAGCUAUGAUACUUGGUCCAAGAACUGAAAGAAUGGCAAAAAAAAUCCCCAGACAUCUACCAAGCUCCAAGUGAGUUAGGUCUUGUUCUGACAGUGAAGAGGGUGUGUACUGCUUCAGAUAACAUCUCAACACAAUAUUGCUGUGCACAGCCUCUAUUCUUUUCAACACAUACACUUGCUUAAUCUUGGGUAUUAAUUUAGUGCUUUCUGUCGUUUCAAAAUAGACCACAGAGAGAUUGUUAGAUUCAUCUGAGCUGCUGUUCUAUUUUGUCUCCUUUCUCGGAGGAAGAAGUGGAGUGCUGUUCACGGGUGGUCUGCUUCAUGUGCACACCACAUGAAGGUGCAGUUGUCAGUGUCAAAUGAGUGACUUCUACUAAGGGACUGAAGCUUCCUCUGUUGCGUGUUGUGUAGACAAAGGUGAGGAGUAGGACGUGUUCUGAGGAGUUAGUCUGGAGCCUGUGUCUUUAUUCCGUUUCCUUACCCAGGAAAGGAUUAGAGACGUGCUGCCGGAGCGGGCGGCGCUGUGGCUGUAAUACUUGGCUCGCGGGCAGGUGAGGCUUACAGCCUGGCUGACAGUUAGCCCGAGGUUUGUGUUACAUUUGGACGUGGUUAUAGAAAGUGGAAACAUCUAACACCUGUCACUUGGGAAAGGUCCUAAAUGACUAGUAAAUCUUAACCUGUAAUGGGUGCCAUAUGGCACUCUUUAUUUGCAUCUGGAAAAAAUCAGGAAGCCUCUAGAGGCUAGUGAUUAGAGGCAUGUAUGUAAAAUUCAAAUAAAACUGAGACUUCCUGGAAAGCAAAGUGGCUUACUGUAUGCUGCUGCUGUCUGAAUGUCAGGUGUCUCAGUGCUAGAGUUAGCUGCAGAAACGCGUAACUGGACAGGCGAAGAUGAAGGCAUGCUAAAUGAAACUAGUCCCCUACACUGCAGUGUACAUGUUUAAGGAGUUUGGUUAUGGUCUGCAUAUAAGCCAGAGGGUGCUUUGAUGUGAGUUUUUAAUGUUCACAUCAAUAUAUGGUAAACUAAGCCAACAGAAAUGCAGUCCUGACUUCAUCUCUUGCGUACUGUGGCUGUUUCCCCACAUCGUGCAUGUUCAUGCUCAGACUUUCCCAGUAUGUAAAGGUGCAACCUCAGUGCAAGUUUUUAUUUCUUGAAGUCUUAGCUGUGGAGCUGUCAUCAAGGACUUAUUUCCAGUGUAUUCAUGGAAAAAACGUUUCCUUGUAUGUGUGGUAUAGAGUAAAAACAAAGGCAAUGAAUUUAAAGCAGCUGUUAGGAUCUUUUUUUGGUUGGUUCCAAUGUCUUUUAAAUUGCUUCCAGGAAAGAACAGAAUCAGAGUUGAGCAUUUAGAACUGAAAUCAGAAGUAGCAAAGUGUGGGCUGCCUACAGAGGAGGUAUGUCAUCCGCCCCUUCCCAAAAUCUCCUAUUGCGAAACUGAAAGCUGAAGAGCUGCUUUGUUUAAGGUGUUUCUCUACCCAACCCCUCUGUUCAGAGGUUUGGGCAGGUGCUGCAGUGCCUGCUGAGCAAGGAAAUGGGUACGGCAUCUGUGGGCUCAUGUACUUGAAGGCAAAGUGGGUAGAAAAGACCAUCUGCUAGUUUGUGUUCUGUCUUAAUUUCUCUCCGCUUGCACUCUUUUUACCAGCUGUGUACUUGUCAAAUCGAAACACAGCAGCGCAUCUCCGGGUGGCAGCAUAAAGGCGGUACUUAACCUGAGCAGCCACAUAAGGACACUUUCACAAAUUCUUACAGCAGGGUUGGGGUGUUUGGAGAGUUGAGUUCAUAAGGACAGAAGUACAAGUACUUGGCUUUUCAGGUGUCUUCAGUCUCACAUUUGAAAUGUUUGUGAGAUGGGCAGUGAAGCUUGAUGUGAUUAUUUUACUUUCUGUGUGUCCCACCCGGUGAACACGCUGCACUGAAGCCCGCUUGCUCUGUAAGUCUUACAGGCCCCAGAAAUCCGAGUUCUGAGAAGCGGUGAGAACUGUCCGGAUGCUUUUCUUUGCCUACAGUUGAGUGCAAGUCUGGCAGCACUCAUUAAAGCAGGGUGGCAACUAUCAUUUUCUUUUAUUUUCUUUUAGAAAAUGAGAAUGAGCUACUGUGAGUUGUGAGGGCCGGCUGUUCAAACUCUGCUUGAAGGGUUUGCACCUGGGGAGUUCUCGGCUUUCCUCCUCUUAGAGCUAAGUGUGGAGAAAUGGAGCAAGGUCUGGGAGCUGACCGCGUGCCCCGCUCGCUUUCUGUCCUGGUCUGGGUUCAGGAACCAAACACUGGUUUACAGAUUGCAGUGCCCCCUGCUCCUGGGGGAUAACCUCUGUGCACAUUUGCCCAUUGCUUUCACAUUUUUUUGUUUAAAAAAGGGAGGUGGAAAGCCCUAACUUCUGGAAGGCCGUGCUCAGCAGUUCAGGCACUGGGACAGCCUGCUCCUACUCAGCGUGUUUGCUGACCGAGUCUCUCGUGCAGCAGCAGCUGCUGCUGUGCGGCAGGUCACUUGACCAGCCCAAAUCUGCAGUGUUAAAACAUUCUGAUGUUCCUGUCUGGGGAAGCUGCCGUGCCUCGGUGCAGAGGGUAAUAACGGUGUUUAGGCACUGGAGCAGCUGGAAGAACUGCAGGAGAUGCAGGAUUUGUCCCAUUGCAUAGAAGCUUCCUUCUAGGAACAGGGCUUCCACAAGUGAAAAUAGCUUUUACCAACUUUAAAUUGUGGCCAAGGGCAGGUGAUGAGCAGCUGGGACUGACUUUGGGGAUAAGCAGUUACUGCAGUAGUUCCAUGAGCUGCAGGAUGCUGUCAAACUGAGCCUUGGCCAUGCCAGCUGUGUGUGCCCGAGCUAGCCUGGUGUUGUAGCAGUGCCAGGAAAUGAGUGUAUUUUCCCCAUAUAUGUGAUCUAGAGACAGAUGUAGUCAAUUGUGACUAGAAGAUCUCAAAACCAUAGAUUUUAGCCAAAUUAAUACUUCCACUGUUUCUCCCAGCUCCUGUUCCUCUUCAGCUACAAAAAAUGUUGUGGGCACAAUGCAUGCUGAGGGAGCACUCGAGGGGUUUGAUGUACCUUUCGUUCUUCUGGCUCUGGGCUUAGUGGCUUGACACGACUAUCAGAACACAAGGCAGUGUUUCAGUCAGCUCUUUUUCUUUGCUUUCCUCUCUAAAGCAAGUAGUACUGUUUUUAAUUCUUACUGCCUGAUCAGUUUGCAGUUUCACUGCAAACUAACGGCUAGUCAUGUGGUGCUGGCAAAUAUUGAAGGGAGAGACCUAAAUCUGAGACUGUUAAUAAUAAAAGCGGGACUGUGACACAUAACAAGUGCUUUUUACAGCGCUUGGAAGGAAGGGGAAGCAUCAAGCCUGAAGUAUUUGGUCAUCAAUGUGUCCAUCUUGAGGCUGAGACUACAUCUUUCAAGAACACUACUUCAUUCCCUGAGCAGCUCUGCAGUUCAGCCUGCUGCAGGUAGCAGAAUGGCUCAACCACACCAGCCUGGCCCAAGUGCUUCUGUUAUUCCUGUGCUUUGUUGCAGGUGUGGAAAGAGCUGUGAUUUUCAUGUUCAAGAGCAGUUAUGGGAGACAGUCCACGGGUGUGUGCCCUGCAUGGGAGGGAGCCCUUGGAGCUGAAUUGCUUUUGAGUGGUUUUGUGACUGGUUCUUCCUUUGGCCGUUCCCGUAAAUGAGUCUUGGUAAAACCAAACUACAGACUUAAGCAUAAGCAUUCAAGUAAAUUCUCGAGAGGUCAUUAGAAAAAAACAACUGUGCGAACAUGCAAUUACAGGAGAUGAACUGCAACUGCUGCGCAGUCUGGCUUGAGUGUCUAUCAACUGUUUAGCUUUUGCUGCUUGCUCUCUGCUCCUUCACAAACUGGAGCAUUGUUCCACAGCUCAGUUAAGCUCCUGUGAUCUAAGUAUGUGUCAGACUUUUUGAAAUGGAGAAUUUUGGCCAAUUUCUCCUAGGCAGAACUUGAUUUCAGUGACUUGUGUGCAUCUUUUCCCUGCUGGAGGGCACUCUUCUCACCUGUCAAGGUGGCUUACGACAUAGUGGUGUCAAGUAACUGCACGGUUCCCUUCAGGACAACAUCUGUUUGUGAAGCUGGUUUGUGCACGUUAAUCCCCACAGAUGCCUCGUGCUGAAGCUCAGUGCUCCUUGAAAUCAGGAAGGAAAUCUUAGUGCAUUGCAGGCCACAGCAGCGUUUCACACCAGUGGAUACCCAGUAUCAGUUUGAUUCCUCCUUGACCUCUUGCCACCACCAGAACUGAGCUGUCCAGAAACCACGCAGGCUGUUGGUAUAAACUGUGGUGCUAGGGAGGUAAAGUAACGUGGCUGUGCUCUUUGAGAAAUGGAAGAGCUUAUCGCACAGGAAACUCAUUUGUGAUAAAAGAAUACAUAAGGGGGAUGGAAAGGAGCUGAGGAAUUGCUCAGCUUAUAAAUGCUGAGCCUGGGCUUUGUUUCUUUCUCUUCUCUAGCUGCUUGAGCUAUGGAUUGAGAAAUCAUUUGUAAGCAGUUUUGAUUAUUUCAGAACACCUGUAAUUGUUUACAAAGACACCACCUCCAUUCACUAACUGCUUCUGUAAGAAGUUACACCUUCUAUUCAUUAUCAACUUCUGAUGUGUAAAUUUCAAGUUCUGUCAAACAACUAGCAUCUCUCCCUAUAUCUGACUUUUACAGUAGAAAGAGCAUUAAAUUCUUGUUAAAUAACAAUGGCCAAGUGCUAAUGUGUUAUUUAGAUACUGAUGCGUUCUUCAGCUUGUGGGUUUUUUAGGUUAUUUUUUCCCUCUACACCCCCUUCCUCCCCCUGCUGCCAAGUACCUUACUGCCCUGCAGCUGCGUGGCUGUAAUGGUGAAUCACUCCCAAAGCACAGUUACACCUCCCAUCUAUCUGCCUCAGUAGUUGUUACUAAUGUGUUGACUAACUGUUGUUACUUCGAUUCUGCCUCGUGUAAAAUCAGGGUAAUCUAUCUGAAGCCAUCGAGCAGCCCUCUAUAACUUUUAUUAACUUGUUCUUAGUAGUCCAUAAAAACAAUUUGCCUUUCCCUUCACAGGUUUAGGAAGUCCCAAGUUGCAGAUCUCUCCAGGAAUAGCAUCAUCUGUCUUGUGUGUGUUUUGUUUGUUUAUAUGGUUGUGAAUGGCAGCUGGGAGGUGGGGAGGGAGUGGGGAGGCUGAAAUUGUCUUGUAACUGACAUCUCUGGGCUUGAUGAGAAGAGGGGAAUGUGCCUAAUGCUCAAGGCAGUUUUCCAGCCAAAACAAAUCUUGAUAACUUAGGUUUAUUCAUUCCAGUGAGCAAACUGUUACAAACGUGUGGCCAAGAGUAAGAAGUGACUUUGAUUUCAAAUGUGUACCUCUUCAAACUGGAAAACAAACCAAAAAAUAAAAAAACAGUUCUGUUGGUGGCAUAAAGCAAUUUUUUUCAGUCCACGUAAGACACAAAAGACUGAGCUUGUUCUGGAAGAAUUAUCCUUUGACUAGAAAACCAAUACCAUCCCUCCUUUUAUGCCCUAAUGAAAAGAGCUUGCUGUCUACACACUAGUUCAAUGGGGGAGAAGCUGUCAGGAAAAUCCAAUGAAAGGAUUAGCUCAACUUGAAUAGAUUAAUUAGAGCCCUUGAUUGUGUCCUGCUAUGCAAAAGUCACAGCAAAGGAAAUGGCAAUGAUAGUGAGUUCAUCCUCACAGGUACAGGAGGGGUUGUCAGCGGGCACACAGUAGGCAAGAAGCAGAUCUAAGAAGUUGCAGUCUGUCUGACAAGCUGUAUCCAUUUGUUGUCCAUCCUCCUGUAGUUGAAAACUAAAAGAUUUUAAUGGUCAUGGAGCUUAUACGAUCAAAUCUUUAUGAUCAAGCCACAAUUCAUUAUUCCAUCCAAUAUCUUAGCUUUCCUGUUGCAUAAGGUCUACGCUGCAUCCUACUGACCAGAGCUAGGAUUUGAGCUAGUACCGAAGCCACAGGGGCCUUGUUCAGUUUCCUGAACCUGUCACAAAUGUACCAAGUGCAGCUUGGAGUUCCAGGAGCUCCACUGAGGCUUGAAGUCAAUUUGUUAUGUUUGAAAACACAGCAAGCUAGCUAACAGUCACUCGUUCUGAUAAUGAAGCUGUUACUGAGGGCAAACUACUGGCAGCGGCCAUCUAAAUCUUGAUUUUAAUGUAGGCUUUCUGUGCUUGAAAUGUAGUCGCUACUGUGCAUAGCACGGAGCCUGGAUUUGAUUCAUUUUUGCAUUAACGUGAGAUACAGAAUGAAAUCUGUGAUAUCAGGUCUCUUGCCUGUGGCUGCAGAGUGGCUUUCAGACUUGUGCUGGCUUGUUACACAGUUUGUGUUCUCCUGUAGCACAAUUCUUGUGCCUGCUUUCCCAAGUAAAAAAAAAAAAAAAAAAAAAAAAA
This is a non-coding RNA of Anas platyrhynchos (mallard), 10563 nucleotides long. The record is from RefSeq and is a predicted model, not a curated record. NCBI's taxonomy places the organism in Eukaryota, Metazoa, Chordata, Aves, Anseriformes, Anatidae.